Molecule: long non-coding RNA, 1552 nt
Organism: Camelus dromedarius (Arabian camel)
Lineage: Eukaryota; Metazoa; Chordata; Mammalia; Artiodactyla; Camelidae
Exons: 4
Source: RefSeq, a predicted model, not a curated record
GUCUGUCCCACUGUCACACCUUUAUUGUGCUCGUCAAAUGCUUGUGAUAAAGCCGUGGCUCCAGGAUGAGUUCUUGUAUGGUGCGUGUGUUUGAUAACCCCUGCGGAGCUUAUGUUCUUAAAGGUAAAUGCUUGAUAAUUCUAACAAACUGAAUUUUUAAGGGAGACAUAACUUGUUCAGGGUCACAAGUAUGAGUAACAGAUGCUGCUACGUCUAACAGUGUGCCAGCCUUUUGUGUCUGGAAAUGAGUACCAUCAGUCUACUGUUCUGUUUAAAUUCUUGUAUUCAACCUUUGGCUUGAAAAAUAUCAGCCACUACUUUCUGAUAUUGUCAGUGUAUUUGUCUAAGCAGUAUUUCCCCAACAGUAAUUUGUUGUGGAUUCAGAAACCAAAUCACUUAAGACAAUGCAAUUGACAGUCAAAAUAAGCAUGAAAAUGAGAACUACUGAGUUAGGUACAUGGACUCAAUAUUGGUUAACUAUAGUCUUGUGCUUAACUUCAGGUUUUUAAGCAAGUUCAGAUUGCCAAUAAUCUGGGCUUUUGAUAGGUAGAGUUAUGGUAUUAAUGUUUUCCUAGUUCAUAUCAAAUUACAACCUAGUUACUGCAUGUUGACUUUGUAAGACUGUGCUGUAAUAACUUGCAAAUUAUGAUUUCUAGUGUAUAACUAGAGUCAAACACCAUGAUGAAUAUAAAGGUGAAUCAUAAUUCAUUACUUUUCACCUUCAUGUACUGAGGUAGUUCUUGCUCAUAUACAUAUAUAUUUCCAGCUAAUAAAUUAAGAACAAGUUUCCUACACUGGUAUAAUUUGAAUUUGCAGCUGAUUUCAGUUAACUGUAAACUCAAGUUAUCUUUUAGCUCAAGAAUAAAUGCAAAAGGCAAAAAAAAGACAGUAUAUGCUAGAUUUGUUAGAAGAUAAUGUUGAUGUAUAUGCCAUUUGGAAAUGGCUUAAUCCUCAGUGAUUUCUUCAUUAGUGAUACCUUCUAAAAUGAUUAGUCUGCAGGUGGAACUCAUCUAUUUGUGACGGGUCCCAGAGGAAAGGCACAAUUUGUUUGUUAGAAUCAGGAUGAUAUGGGAGUUCUCCCAAAUUCACCUACUGGUAAAUAAAAUGGUAAUUCCAAAGCUAAAUAGCAAAAAAGGGGUAGUUAAUUCCCUUAGGAACUGCCAAAAUUCAGGAGAGGAAAAAAUGAAAAGAAAAAGAAAUAAUGCAAUCUUGAAAUUAAUAGCUCUGCUAAUAAACAAAUAUACAAAUAUAAACCCUUUCUAAAAAUGACUAAAAUUAUUUCCAUGUGGAAAAAUAUGGUUGUUUCUACACUAGAAUAUUUAAGUGAAAAAAAAAAAGCUAUAGCUUUAUUUGCUGGUAACAAAAAUAUGCUGAAAGAUACAAGUGAACUACAGCAGAAUUUGUAAGAAUUAAUGUAUCACAGACAAACGUAAGAGACAUCAUUAAGAAUUCUAGAAAUAAAGAACAAUUUAGUUGGUAAAAAUAUUGGAUUACUUAUUUCAUGCACACACACACCACUUUGUAAACUUUAGCAAAAUUUUGUCACCCAACA